Molecule: ribosomal RNA, 305 nt
Filed under: uncultured bacterium
Lineage: Bacteria
Description: bacterial SSU rRNA
Rfam family: Bacterial small subunit ribosomal RNA
Source: RNAcentral
GAUCCCUACGGGGCGCAGCAGUGAGGAAUAUUGGUCAAUGGACGGAAGUCUGAACCAGCCAUGCCGCGUGCAGGAAGACGGCUCUAUGAGUUGUAAACUGCUUUUGUACAAGGGUAAACCUGAAUACGUGUAUUCAGCUGAAAGUACUGUACGAAUAAGGAUCGGCUAACUCCGUGCCAGCAGCCGCGGUAAUACGGAGGAUCCAAGCGUUAUCCGGAUUUAUUGGGUUUAAAGGGUGCGUAGGCGGCUUGAUAAGUUAGAGGUGAAAUGUCGGAGCUCACAUCGGGAAAUGCCUCUAAUACUGU